UUCGGAUUGUAGUCUGCAACCCGACUACAUGAAGCUGGAAUCGCUAGUAAUCGCGGAUCAGAAUGCCGCGGUGAAUACGUUCCCGGGUCUUGUACACACCGCCCGUCACACCAUGGGAGUCGGAAAUGCCCGAAGUCUGUGACCCAACCUACGGGAGGGAGCAGCCGAAGGCAGGUCGGAUGACUGGGGUGAAGUCGUAACAAGGUACC
Molecule: ribosomal RNA, 209 nt
Filed under: uncultured bacterium
Lineage: Bacteria
Description: partial 16S ribosomal RNA
Rfam family: Bacterial small subunit ribosomal RNA
Source: RNAcentral